GACGAACGCUGGCGGCGUGCUUAACACAUGCAAGUCGAACGGAAAGGCCUGCUUUCCCUUGUGGAUUGCGGGUGCUCGAGUGGCGAACGGGUGAGUAACACGUGAGUGAUCUGCCCCCAACUUGGGUAUAAGCCUGGGAAACUGGGUCUAAUUCCCGAUAGGACUGCAGGGUGGUGCCUGUGGUGGAAAACGAUUUUCUAGUGGUUGGGGAUGAGCUCGCGGCCUAUCAGCUUGUUGGUGGGGUAAUGGCCUACCAAGGCGGCGACGGGUAGCCGGCCUGAGAGGGUGGACGGCCAAAUUGGGACUGAGAUACGGCCCAGACUCCUACGGGAGGCAGCAGUGGGGAAUAGUGCACAAUGGGCGGAAGCCUGAUGCAGCGACGCCGCGUGGGGGAUGACGGCCUUCGGGUUGUAAACUCCUUUCGACCGAGAGGAAGCCACCUGGUUGGAAGGGUGGUGACGGUAGUGGUAGAAGAAGCACCGGCUAACUACGUG
Molecule: ribosomal RNA, 494 nt
Filed under: uncultured bacterium
Lineage: Bacteria
Description: partial 16S ribosomal RNA
Rfam family: Bacterial small subunit ribosomal RNA
Source: RNAcentral